UUGCCACCACCAUGUAAGAAGUGCCUUUCAUAUCCUGCCAUGAUUCUGAGGCCUCCCCAGACAUGUGGAACUGAGUGAUGCAGAGAUGUGACCCAACGGGUCUACCUACCAGGGAGGAGGUGUGGUUUUUACUGGAAUAUUCUGGCAGGCAAAAGGAUCUCUCCUUUUGGCUUUCUCCCUGCUUCUGAAACACAUCCCUUUCCAGGAAUGCAUGCUUUCUGAGGCAGACAAAAGAAGAGUUGUUCAAGGGAGAAGAAGACUUAGAGACACAGACACACAGAGGGAAGAAGGCCAUAGAAAGACAAAGGCAAAGAUUGGAGUUGUACUGCCACAAGCCCAAGAAUGAGGAAACCACCAGGAGCUAGAAGAAACAAGCAAGGAUUCGUCCCUGGAUUGGUCUUUCAAAGGGAGCAUGGCCCUGCUGACACUUUAAUUUCAGACUUCUAGGCUGCAGAACCAUUAAAGAAUAAAUUUCCUUUGUUUCAA
This 486-nucleotide long non-coding RNA is filed under the name Homo sapiens (human). RNAcentral describes it as "non-protein coding LINC01425:1". The record is from RNAcentral. Lineage: Eukaryota; Metazoa; Chordata; Mammalia; Primates; Hominidae.